RNAcentral lists this ribosomal RNA (238 nucleotides) under uncultured Lactobacillus sp. RNAcentral's name for it is "partial 16S ribosomal RNA". It matches the Rfam family "Bacterial small subunit ribosomal RNA", at positions 125 to 354 of the family's 1533-position model. Lineage: Bacteria; Bacillati; Bacillota; Bacilli; Lactobacillales; Lactobacillaceae. The record is from RNAcentral.
CCGUGCCCAAGAGAUCGGGAUAACACCUGGAAACAGAUGCUAAUACCGGAUAACAACAGAUGAUGCCUAUCAACUGUUUAAAAGAUGGUUCUGCUAUCACUCUUGGAUGGACCUGCGGUGCAUUAGCUAGUUGGUAGGGUAACGGCCUACCAAGGCGAUGAUGCAUAGCCGAGUUGAGAGGCUGAUCGGCCACAUUGGGACUGAGACACGGCCCAAACUCCUACGGGAGGCAGCAGGC